Long non-coding RNA from Rhinopithecus roxellana (golden snub-nosed monkey), 323 nucleotides. RefSeq lists it as uncharacterized. NCBI's taxonomy places the organism in Eukaryota, Metazoa, Chordata, Mammalia, Primates, Cercopithecidae. The transcript is spliced from 3 exons. The record is from RefSeq and is a predicted model, not a curated record.
CGCGAUUGGUGGCAGCAACGGAGACUGCAACUCGACUGGAGUGGGGCCUGGAGAGAGUCAUGCCCAUAGGCCAGACCUUAACAUUGCUUUCUGCUGACCUCAAGUUUUUAGAGAAAGCCUGGCUUCCUUAACCAAUUGUAAUCAAAGAAUCCUGAAGCCGCCUAUGACCUGUAAGCCCCUUGCUUCAAGAGCUUCCACCUUUUUGGGCCAAACCAAGUUCCAUGAUGGAAAAUCUAAUGGCCACUUUCCAUUUACCACGUCCAAGGAGCAGUCCAGGUAAGUGGCUCCCUUUUGUUUCCAUCUUGCUCCUGGCUUCUGACACC